This 162-nucleotide ribosomal RNA is filed under the name Hieracium hryniawiense. Its description in RNAcentral is "5.8S ribosomal RNA". It matches the Rfam family "5.8S ribosomal RNA". From Rfam's summary of the family: 5.8S ribosomal RNA (5.8S rRNA) is a component of the large subunit of the eukaryotic ribosome. It is transcribed by RNA polymerase I as part of the 45S precursor that also contains 18S and 28S rRNA. The record is from RNAcentral. Lineage: Eukaryota; Viridiplantae; Streptophyta; Magnoliopsida; Asterales; Asteraceae.
CAAACGACUCUCGGCAACGGAUAUCUCGGCUCACGCAUCGAUGAAGAACGUAGCAAAAUGCGAUACUUGGUGUGAAUUGCAGAAUCCCGUGAACCAUCGAGUUUUUGAACGCAAGUUGCGCCCGAAGCCAUCCGGCCGAGGGCACGCCUGCCUGGGCGUCAC